Molecule: unclassified non-coding RNA, 353 nt
Filed under: soil metagenome
Description: partial contains 5.8S ribosomal RNA, internal transcribed spacer 2, and large subunit ribosomal RNA
Rfam family: 5.8S ribosomal RNA (bases 1-120)
Source: RNAcentral
GAUGAAGAACGUAGCGAAAUGCGAUAAGUAAUGUGAAUUGCAGAAUUCAGUGAAUCAUCGAAUCUUUGAACGCACAUUGCGCCCGCCAGUAUUCUGGCGGGCAUGCCUGUUCGAGCGUCAUUACAACCCUCAGGCCCCCGGGCCUGGCGUUGGGGAUCGGCGGAAGCCCCCUGCGGGCACAACGCCGUCCCCCAAAUACAGUGGCGGUCCCGCCGCAGCUUCCAUUGCGUAGUAGCUAACACCUCGCAACUGGAGAGCGGCGCGGCCAAGCCGUAAAACACCCAACUUCUGAAUGUUGACCUCGAAUCAGGUAGGAAUACCCGCUGAACUUAAGCAUAUCAAUAAGCGGAGGA